GAGGGUAUAGCUCAGUGGUAGAGCACAUGCUUAACAUGUACAAGGGCCUGGGUUCAAUCCCCAGUACCUCCA
RNAcentral lists this transfer RNA (72 nucleotides) under Camelus bactrianus (Bactrian camel). It matches the Rfam family "tRNA". From Rfam's summary of the family: Transfer RNA (tRNA) molecules are approximately 80 nucleotides in length. Their secondary structure includes four short double-helical elements and three loops (D, anti-codon, and T loops). The record is from Rfam by way of RNAcentral. Lineage: Eukaryota; Metazoa; Chordata; Mammalia; Artiodactyla; Camelidae. RNAcentral also lists the same sequence under 2 other names.